RNAcentral lists this ribosomal RNA (252 nucleotides) under uncultured bacterium. RNAcentral's name for it is "partial 16S ribosomal RNA". It matches the Rfam family "Bacterial small subunit ribosomal RNA", at positions 524 to 776 of the family's 1533-position model. The record is from RNAcentral.
UACAGAGGUCUCAAGCGUUGUUCGGAUUCAUUGGGCGUAAAGGGUGUGUAGGUGGCGCGCUAAGUCGGGUGUGAAAUUUCGGAGCUUAACUCCGAAACUGCAUUCGAUACUGGCGUGCUUGAGGACUGGAGAGGAGACUGGAAUUCAUGGUGUAGCAGUGAAAUGCGUAGAGAUCAUGAGGAAGACCAGUGGCGAAGGCGGGUCUCUGGACAGUUCCUGACACUGAGACACGAAGGCCAGGGAGCAAACGGG